RNAcentral lists this ribosomal RNA (497 nucleotides) under uncultured bacterium. RNAcentral's name for it is "partial 16S ribosomal RNA". It matches the Rfam family "Bacterial small subunit ribosomal RNA", at positions 28 to 507 of the family's 1533-position model. The record is from RNAcentral.
GAUGAACGCUGGCGGCGUGCCUAAUACAUGCAAGUCGAGCGAACAGACGAGGAGCUUGCUCCUCUGACGUUAGCGGCGGACGGGUGAGUAACACGUGGAUAACCUACCUAUAAGACUGGGAUAACUUCGGGAAACCGGAGCUAAUACCGGAUAAUAUAUUGAACCGCAUGGUUCAAUAGUGAAAGACGGUUUUGCUGUCACUUAUAGAUGGAUCCGCGCCGCAUCAGCUAGUUGGUAAGGUAACGGCUUACCAAGGCAACGAUGCGUAGCCGACCUGAGAGGGUGAUCGGCCACACUGGAACUGAGACACGGUCCAGACUCCUACGGGAGGCAGCAGUAGGGAAUCUUCCGCAAUGGGCGAAAGCUUGACGGAGCAACGCCGCGUGAGUGAUGAAGGUCUUCGGAUCGUAAAACUCUGUUAUUAGGGAAGAACAAAUGUAUAAGUAACUAUGCACGUCUUGACGGUACCUAAUCAGAAAGCCACGGCUAACUACGUG